This 406-nucleotide ribosomal RNA is filed under the name uncultured bacterium. RNAcentral describes it as "partial 16S ribosomal RNA". It matches the Rfam family "Bacterial small subunit ribosomal RNA", at positions 29 to 526 of the family's 1533-position model. The record is from RNAcentral.
AUUGAACGCUGGCGGCAGGCUUAACACAUGCAAGUCGAGCGAGCGGCGGACGGGUGCGUAAUGUAUGGGAAACUGCCUGACGGAGGGGGAUAACUAAUGGAAACGGUAGCUAAUACCGCAUACCAUCAGAUGUGCCCAGAUGGGAUUAGCUAGUAUGUGGGGUAAUGGCUCACCUAGGCGAACAUCCCUAGCUGGUCUGAGAGGAUGACCAGCCACACGGGAAGUAAGACACGGUCCAGACUCCUACGGGAGGCAGCGGAGGGGAAUAUGGCGCAAUGGGCGCAAGCCGGAUGCAGCCAGGCCGCGUGUGUGAAGAAGGACUUCGGGUUGUAAAGCACUUUCAGCGAGUAGGCGUUACUCGCAGAAGAAGCACCGGCUAACUCCGUGCCAGCAGCCGCGGUAAUAC